AGGAAAACUGCUCUGCUGGGGAAUGUUUGAAGCAGAUAAAUUUAUGCCUAGGAGAUGGGAGCUAAAGAAAGGAAGUGGACUGCGGGAAAGAGGACAAAGUGAAGAGGAAGCAGAAAUCCAACCACUGAGAAGAGAUGGCUGAACAUUCAUUUCUUGCCAGGUAAUGUUUUUGUUCAGUACUACCAAGGCUGAUCAUGUCC
RNAcentral lists this long non-coding RNA (200 nucleotides) under Mustela putorius furo (domestic ferret). Its description in RNAcentral is "lncRNA (ENSMPUG00000030805.1)". The record is from RNAcentral. Lineage: Eukaryota; Metazoa; Chordata; Mammalia; Carnivora; Mustelidae.